ACUCAAAUGAAUUGACGGGGACCCGCACAACCAGUGGAGCGUGUGGUUCAAUUCGAGACAAAACGAAGGACCUCACCAGGGUUUGACAUAACACCGUUUAUUUCCCUAGAAAUAGGGAGAAAUCCGCAAGGAUGGUGCUACAGGUGCUGCAUGGCUGUCGUCAGCUCGUGCCGUGAGGUGUUCCCUUAAGUGGGGAAACGAGCGCAACCCCUAUUUAAUGUUAAAUUUUCAUUAGAGACAGCCCUGAUUUUAUCAGGGAGGAAGGAGGGGAAGACGUCAAGUCAGCACGGCCCUUAUACCCUGGGCCACACACACACUACAAUGGCGAAUAACAAUGGGCUGCAAGCACGCAAGUGCAAGCCAAUCCCUAAAAUUUCGCCUCAGUUCAGAUUGGGGUCUGAAACCCGACCCCAUGAAGCCGGAAUUGGUAGUAAUCGCAGGUCAGCAUACUGCGGUGAAUACGUUCUCGGGUCUUGUACACACCGCCCGU
This 490-nucleotide ribosomal RNA is filed under the name uncultured bacterium. RNAcentral's name for it is "partial 16S ribosomal RNA". It matches the Rfam family "Bacterial small subunit ribosomal RNA", at positions 899 to 1397 of the family's 1533-position model. The record is from RNAcentral.